AUUGAACGCUGGCGGCAGGCCUAACACAUGCAAGUCGAACGGUAACAGGAAACAGCUUGCUGUUUCGCUGACGAGUGGCGGACGGGUGAGUAAUGUCUGGGAAACUGCCUGAUGGAGGGGGAUAACUACUGGAAACGGUAGCUAAUACCGCAUAACGUCGCAAGACCAAAGAGGGGGACCUUCGGGCCUCUUGCCAUCGGAUGUGCCCAGAUGGGAUUAGCUAGUAGGUGGGGUAACGGCUCACCUAGGUGACGAUCCCUAGCUGGUCUGAGAGGAUGACCAGCCACACUGGAACUGAGACACGGUCCAGACUCCUACGGGAGGCAGCAGUGGGGAAUAUUGCACAAUGGGCGCAAGCCUGAUGCAGCCAUGCCGCGUGUAUGAAGAAGGCCUUCGGGUUGUAAAGUACUUUCAGCGGGGAGGAAGGGAGUAAAGUUAAUACCUUUGCUCAUUGACGUUACCCGCAGAAGAAGCACCGGCUAACUCCGUG
This 490-nucleotide ribosomal RNA is filed under the name uncultured bacterium. RNAcentral's name for it is "partial 16S ribosomal RNA". It matches the Rfam family "Bacterial small subunit ribosomal RNA", at positions 30 to 507 of the family's 1533-position model. The record is from RNAcentral.